Molecule: long non-coding RNA, 5332 nt
Filed under: Salvia miltiorrhiza (redroot sage)
Lineage: Eukaryota; Viridiplantae; Streptophyta; Magnoliopsida; Lamiales; Lamiaceae
Description: long non-coding RNA (SMIL_LNC007597)
Source: RNAcentral
AUAAACAUCUGUAUGGUAGAAGAUACCUAAUUAUAAUGGAUGAUAUGUGGAGCAUCGAUGCAUGGGAUAGAGUUAGGAAUUAUUUUCCGGAUAGCAAAAACCGUAGCAGAAUAGUGGUAACAACAAGGCUAUCUGCUUUGGCUUCUAAAUUACCUAACUCUGAUAGCCUUGGGAUGAAACUUUUGGAUGAGGCUGAAAGUUGGGAGCUUCUCUCCAAAACUGUGUUUGGGGAAGAAGGUUGGCCUCUUGAAUUGGAGGAAAUCGGAAAAAAGAUUGGAAAAAGCUGCAAAGGACUUCCAUUGUCAAUUGUUGUGGUGGGAGGCCUUUUGGCAAAGUCCAAACAUGAAAGAGAGUGUUGGGAAGAGAUAGGGGAAAACAUGAAUGCAAGUGUUAAUUUAGAGGAUGAUGAACGUUGCUUGAAAAUACUAUACAUGAGUUACAAGCAAUUGCCAAUACAUUUGAAACCAUGUUUUCUCUAUAUGGGAGUUUUUCCCGAAGAUGGAGAUUCCUAUCUCAGACCUCAUCAAAUAUUGGGUUGCGGAGGGAUUUGUGAAAGCAGUAAGUGGAAAAAGCUUGGAAGAGAUAGCAAAAGAGUAUUUAAAAGACCUGAUUGCUAGAAAUCUUGUUUUAAGGGAGUAUUAUUGGGGAAUGAAGUGGUGCCAAAUUCAUGACUUGUUGAGAGACUUGUGCUUGAGAGAAGCUGAAAAAGAAAGGUUUUAUAAUACGGCAUCAGAUAAUGAUGUCAUAGGGGCCUUACCACCUAUGUCAGAAGCUCGUUGUUUGACGUGGAAUGUUGGACGAAAACUAUCACCUCUCAAUAUGAGCUUGUUGAGGAUAAUGAAAACAACUGGAUACCAAUGGGCCAAAGAAGCUUUAUCUGGACACGUGGAUCAAUUAGUUAACUCACGGUUCCUUCAAAUAGGUCAUUACUUUGGAGUAAUAAGUGAGUGGAAUUUUCCUAGUUCAAUAUGGCGAUUUUGGAAUCUACAAACACUAAUUGUUGACGACUACAAUAUGCAUGAGGUUAUUACUGUGCCAACUGAUUUUUGGUACAUGCCUCACAUCAGGCAUGUUAAGUUCCACAACGGUCUUCGUCUCCCAGAUCCUCCUAACAACCAAGAUGACAUUGUUUUGGGAAAUCUUCAAAGUUUGGGGAGAGUAUUAAAUUUCAAAUGUAGCGAACAAGUGGUCCAAAAAUUUCCCAAUAUAAAAGUAUUGGUUUUUUGUAAUGUCGAUGAGAUGUAUUGUUUGAGCAAUCUCGAUUGUCUAACUAAACUUGAGUCCUUGGAUUGCGAGAUUUCUCCAAGAAGUGCAAUCAACUUUCCCCAUUCGCUCAAGAGAUUGGUUCUCUCGACUGAUUGUUGGAAGACAUAUUGGAUAAGGUAGGUGUGUUGCCCCUCUUCAGAAGCUCAACUCGAUAUGGGAGUUCAAGGAAGGGAAGUGGGAAACAACUGAAGACCAAUUCCGCAGCCUCAAAUUCUUGACUCUCAUGGAUACUGAUAAUCUAGAAAUCUGGAAAAUUGAAAGCUCCCACUUUCCAUGCCUUGAACGCCUUCAUCUUCUGGACUAUAUGAGUUGCGGGAAAUCCCUUUAGAGUUCGCAGAAAUACCCACACUCAGAGAAAUUCGUGUGGAAUAUUGCAGUGAUUCUGUUGUGGUUUCUGCAAAAAGAAUAUCAGAGGAACACGAGGACUAUUACGGGGAAGAAGCCCUUCAAGUUCUCGUUUACCUCGGGAGUACUAACGAAGGACUGUCGGAGAGCUUGGAUAGUCCUAACUUUUGUGUUGUACGUCGCUGAGAAUCACUACUUAAGGUACACAGAAGAAAAUGUAGAUUUGGUUAAAAUUGAUUGAAUUCCUACUUUUGAUUUGUAAUAUUUGAGUGAUGGAACAAGUGUGCAAUGCAGGUAGUGUGUGGGGAAAGCGCACAGCACAGGAUGAAUCCAUUCACGCGUAUGCUCUGUUUCUCUUCAUGUUUUGGCUUCUUUCUUUUCAAUUCUUAUUCAUUGGCUAUUUCCACUUUUUCAUUGGCAGCAUAGCUGAAAUACAAGUGAGGGAUAAAGAGUAUUAUACGUCAUAAUAAAUAAAUAUUUUUAUAUACGAACAUAAAUAAAAAAGUUGUAAAAUUUUAACAAAAAGAGAGAAAAUAAAAUAUUUUAACUUUUCAUAAUUUAUUCGUUUUAAAUUCAUUUUUGAUGAUUUUUAUACCAUAUUAAAUAUUUUGUCAUGAAGUUAUAUAUAAUAUGCAUAUUAAAUAUUUAUGCAUAAAUUAAAUUUGAGGAUGUUUACAAAAGAAUUAAAAAUAGAGAAAAAUUGGCGGGGGAAGAAAGAGAAAUAAAGGAAAAAAACUCAUCUUUUAUGUAUUAUAUUAUUAUAUUGAUUGACAAGGAAUUAAUCUUAUUAUACCUCAAAAAUAAAAAAAGAAUUAAUCUUAUUAUUUUUAUAUCAUUAUAUAAUACGAUUAGUAAUUCUUGAUCUCCCAAGACAGCUGGCGAGCGCUCGACCGCCCAAGCCUAGAUUUCUGAGCUUCUCUUUUUUCUUUUUUUUGGUGUGUCUCGAUUGGUUGGAAUUUCAAAACGCAGCCGCCGUGAUUUCAAACUCGCACAAAAGUUGGACACAAAAUCUUGGUACACAUGGGUGUACCGUACAACUGGGUUGACCCGUACCCAGAAUAGUAUUUAUCAUAAAGUAUCCCACACCUGUUAAUAUUAAUAACAAAAAAAGAAGUUUGAUGAUUGGACUAUGAAACCGUGCAAGAAUUCUUAGUUUGAAUACAUGUUUGCUUAGAAAUAUGAAAUAUCUAUGCUACCAGCCUACCACUACUGAGCCAAAAAUAUCUAUGUUUACAUCUUUUUAAAACUUUGUUCAUGUCUACUUAAAAACUACUAGGAAUGAUUUUGUGCUGGUUGUGAAAAUCAAUAAUGCUUUUCUGUGAAGCCAUAAAUAUAAUUCACCAUUAUUUAUUUCAGUAUUAUUGUAUUUCUUAUUACACAUAAAUAUGGCUAUGCAUCAGUUGUAUGACAUGUAAGUAUACACAACACAAACUGAUUGUAAAUUUUACUGUGUAUUAGUAGUAUAGUGCAGUUGUAUGAUUACUGUUUUUGUUGUUGCUUAUCCUCGUGCUUUUUUCAGGGAAUUAAUGAGAUUAAUGCGUGGCUAAGAAUUUUUUGAAUGACAUAACUCUACCAAAUAUGAAAUUAAUUUUUAUAAUUUCUGUUUAUGCUUAAUCGUGAAGUUUCUAAAUAGUGAGAAUCGAUUGGAAGAUAAAAAUAGUUAGCCCAAGACAACAAAUCAAUUCCUUAGAUUAUUGAAAGCAAGAUUAUCAAUUGGGUCUAUUGCACAAGUUGGCCCAUGGCAAAGGACAAAAUUCCCUAAUAUCGACCUAACUCUGAUUAAUUUCAAUGGGCUUUGUGAAAAAUGAAAUCAUUUAAUUCAUGAAUUUGUUCAUUGACUCUGUCUACGUCAUGCACAAAAUAUAUCUUACAUAUCAAUAAUUUUUUGGAAAUUUCGAGGAAAGAGCCUCUAAUUGUAUCCAUAUUGUUGACGUCCGCAAUGUGUAAACGAUAUCGUGGACGGAGGGAGUAUAUUUUUUCUUCUUAUUUUUUUGUUUUUCCAAAAUAUUCAAUCUCACACUGUUCUUUUAUAAAACUUCAUCAAAUACAAAUUUAUAUGAAAUGAUACUUCUAUUAUAUCAACUAAAUUUUGACAUUUAAUUAGUAAAAAUAAUCAAAUUAAAUUUAUUUAAAUUAUGACAAAAAGUCAUUUCCGUCUAAAACGUUCGAAUACUAGUGGUGUAACCCAUCAAAAAACAUUAAGGCUGCGUUUACAUUGAUGGAUAAAUUUAUCCAUGGAAAAUGAUGGAUAACAAAAAUUUAUGCCUUCAAAUGUUUUAUUUAUUUUCCAACAUUUGACACAAAAGAGAUGUUCACUAUUUUUCCUUCCUUAUUUUCACUUCAAAGAUGGAUAAUAUUAUCCAAAUGUUGAAAAAAAAAUGAAACAUUUUAAAGUAUAAAUUUUUGUUAUCCAUCAUUUUUCAUAGAUAAAUUUAUCCAUCAAAAUGAACGCAGCCUAAUAGCAUAAAUUUAUAAAUACAUGGCCCAACAUUUGAGCGUUGUCUCUCCUCCUCUAUUAUUUCGAAUAAAGUUUCCACUAAUUCACACUAAUCAAUGCUAGCUGUGAAUUGACAGCUCAAAAAGAAAAAGUUUCCACUAAUUGAGUUAUACAGUAUAUUGAAUUGAAUUUAUUGUUAGAUUUUGAGAAUAAAGAAUCAGAGUCUCAUCUUCUUCCUUCACAACUCCGAAGCAAUAAUACAAGCCAUGGCAGCAGCUUACGCAGCUCUGGUUUCUGCUAUGCAUAUCAUAAACAACCUUCACCAUCAUCCUCGCCCUCCUAUUUCUCUCCACAUUCAACAAGUUGAGUCUCUCACUCAAAAGAUUAAUUUCCUGCUUGAAUUUCUCGAGGGGUAUAACCCCCAUCGUGGCUACUCCAAAGAAGCGGAUCCAUUGGAGUCUCGCAUUGCAGAUGCAGCUUAUGCGGCCGAAUACGCCAUUGAAUCUCAUAUUUUCGAUCAGGUCACAAAUAAUGGAGAAAAUAUGAGUUCUCAUGGCUUGUAUGAAGCUCUCGAGAAGGUGAUAGAAGACAUGGCUUCGAUCGAAGAGGAAGCCAAGCAAAUUCAAGGGAGAGUUGGACUCCAACAUCAGCUGCACACAAAGUCAACGCCUUUGGAUUCAUCGAGAUCUUCUUCGAUUCCACAGCAGAGUAGCAUGGUGGGUGCUGAUGAUGUCAAGCUUCAAUUGAUGGAUAAGCUCACUUCUGAUAGCCUUCAUCUACAGAUCAUUCCCAUUGUAGGGAUGGGCGGCUCCGGUAAGACCACUCUUGCUAAAACUGUUUAUGAAGAACGUCUUAUUAAGGAGCAUUUUGAUAUUUGUGCGUGGGCUACCAUCUCUCAAGAAUAUGUCAUUAGAGAAAUUUUUGAAGUAGUUCUUCGUCAGUUUAAUAUAGGAGUUGAUGACGAUUUGAAUGAGCAUGAAUUAGGAGAUAAGUUGUAUAAACAUCUUUAUGGUAGAAGAUACCUAAUUAUAAUGGAUGAUAUGUGGAGCAUUGAUGCAUGGGAUAGAGUUAGGAAUUAUUUUCCGGAUAGCAAAAACCGUAGCAGAAUAGUGGUAACAACUAGGCUAUCUGCUUUGGCUUCUAAAUUACCUAACUCUGAUAGCCUUGGGAUGAAACUUUUGGAUGAGGCUGAAAGUUGGGAGCUUCUCUCCAAAACUGUGUUUGGGGAAGAAGGUUGGCCUCUUGAAUUGGAGGAAAUCGGAAAAAAGAUUGGAAAAAGCUGCA